GGAGAACUGAAACAUCUAAGUACCCCGAGGAAAAGAAAUCAACCGAGAUUCCGAAAGUAGCGGCGAGCGAAAUUGGAUUAGCCCUUAAGCUUUACAUGUGUUAGACGAACGGUCUGGAAAGUCCGACGAUACAGGGUGAUAGUCCCGUAGUUGACGAUGCAUGUUCAGUGAAAUCGAGUAGGGCGGGACACGUGUUAUCCUGUCUGAAUAUGGGGGGACCAUCCUCCAAGGCUAAAUACUCCUGACUGACCGAUAGUGAACCAGUACCGUGAGGGAAAGGCGAAAAGAACCCCUGUGAGGGGAGUGAAAUAGAACCUGAAACCGUGUACGUACAAGCAGUAGGAGCACCUUCGUGGUGUGACUGCGUACCUUUUGUAUAAUGGGUCAGCGACUUAUAUUCAGUGGCAAGGUUAACCAUCUAGGGGAGCCGUAGGGAAACCGAGUCUUAACUGGGCGCCAUAGUCUCUGGAUAUAGACCCGAAACCGAGUGAUCUAGCCAUGGGCAGGUUGAAGGUUGAGUAACAUCAACUGGAGGACCGAACCGACUAAUGUUGAAAAAUUAGCGGAUGACUUGUGGCUAGGGGUGAAAGGCCAAUCAAACUCGGAGAUAGCUGGUUCUCCCCGAAAGCUAUUUAGGUAGCGCCUCGGACGAAUACUACUGGGGGUAGAGCACUGUUAAGGCUAGGGGGUCAUCCCGACUUACCAACCCUUUGCAAACUCCGAAUACCAGUAAGUACUAUCCGGGAGACACACGGCGGGUGCUAACGUCCGUCGUGGAGAGGGAAACAACCCAGACCGCCAGCUAAGGUCCCAAAUUACAGCUAAGUGGGAAACGAUGUGGGAAGGCUUAGACAGCUAGGAUGUUGGCUUAGAAGCAGCCAUCAUUUAAAGAAAGCGUAAUAGCUCACUAGUCGAGUCGGCCUGCGCGGAAGAUGUAACGGGGCUAAGUUGUAAACCGAAGCUGCGGCAAUGUUCUAUGAACAUUGGGUAGGGGAGCGUU
This 1000-nucleotide ribosomal RNA is filed under the name Vibrio vulnificus. Its description in RNAcentral is "partial 23S ribosomal RNA". It matches the Rfam family "Bacterial large subunit ribosomal RNA", at positions 187 to 1240 of the family's 2925-position model. The record is from RNAcentral. Lineage: Bacteria; Pseudomonadati; Pseudomonadota; Gammaproteobacteria; Vibrionales; Vibrionaceae.